Molecule: unclassified non-coding RNA, 23 nt
Filed under: synthetic construct
Source: RNAcentral
AAGUCUCCAGGUCUCUCGCGAAA